Molecule: ribosomal RNA, 520 nt
Filed under: uncultured Glomus
Lineage: Eukaryota; Fungi; Glomeromycota; Glomeromycetes; Glomerales; Glomeraceae
Description: SSU rRNA
Rfam family: Eukaryotic small subunit ribosomal RNA
Source: RNAcentral
AGCAGCCGCGGUAAUUCCAGCUCCAAUAGCGUAUAUUAAAGUUGUUGCAGUUAAAAAGCUCGUAGUUGAAUUUCGGGAUCAAUUUAUCGGUCGUGCCAAUGGUAUGAACUGGUACAAUUGGUUUCUUCCUUCUGAUAAAGCGUGAUGCCAUUAACUUGGUGUCGCCGGGGAAUCAGAACUGUUACUUUGAAAAAAUUAGAGUGUUUAAAGCGGGCUUAGGCUUGAAUACAUUAGCAUGGAAUAAUGAAAUAGGACGUUUGAUCCUAUUUUGUUGGUUUCUAGGAUCGACGUAAUGAUUAAUAGGGAUAGUUGGGGGCAUUAGUAUUCAAUUGUCAGAGGUGAAAUUCUUGGAUUUAUUGAAGACUAACUACUGCGAAAGCAUUUGCCAAGGAUGUUUUCAUUAAUCAAGAACGAAAGUUAGGGGAUCGAAGACGAUCAGAUACCGUCGUAGUCUUAACCAUAAACUAUGCCGACUAGGGAUCGGAUGAUGUUAAUUUUUUAAUGACUCAUUCGGCGCCUU